GCAUUCCAGAAAUGAACGAAGCGAGCGAAGCCAGGUCUCCAGAUGUGCCCAGGCAGGCAGCUGGUCCCGGACUGACACUCAGGAUACAGACCCGGGACGUGAGCACGGCUUCCCGGGAGGUGACCCUCACACUCAGGAGCACCGGGAACACCGUGCCAGCACCUGGUUUCUCCUCCCGCACACGUAGGGGUACCGACUGGAGACCGCCCCAGGCCCCGUUCUGCGAGGCUGCUCUCGACCUCUCCAGAACUGGGCCGGCUGAGAGAAAGACGCUGUCUGGAGCUACUUACUGGGCGUCUUGCCACCGUGAGGGAUGUGGCGCCCGGGAAUGAGGCCAGCCCAGAGGGAAGCAAGAGCACACGUCCUGGGUCACCUGGAACAGCUACACCCUAAGCAAGCUCUGUCCUAGACUUUUCAGUUACAGGAGCUACUGUAUUUUCUUUUCUGCUGAAGCCAGUUUGAGUACAAAGGAAUACUGGGUCUUGCACCCCCAACAGUACUGACAGAGUAGUCGUGACCACAUGGCACAUGGAGACAGUCCCGCUCACGGCCGCCUCUUCCACAAAGCCGGACCCCACCCCCACCGUGCCCCACCCGGCCUCCUGCCCCCCAAUGCUGGUCUCCGCGCUGCCGCCUCAGAAUGUGAUUCCCCAUCUGUAGCAAGGAGGAGGUACUGACAGGUCACCCCCAGCAGGACUAAGGGUGCCUUGAGGGCAGGGGCCGGCCUCGACUGAGUGGAUGGGGUCUCCGGCAGGGGUGGGGCCCAGAGAUCCCGUCAUCCCCCAUCCUAGAGACUGGCCCAGCUCACUGGUGGGCCCUGUCACUGCCGCCCGCCGACGUGCUGGGACUGAAAAGGAGCUCUCCCAACCUCUGCUGUAGAGAGAAACCAGGAGGGGGUGGGGCCAAGCCUCUGAAACAAAGGCGUUGCCAUGGUUACCCCUGAAGAAACCGACCCCAGCAGAAGAGGGAGGUGUGUGCAGGCCCCCAAGCCAGGACACCGACAAGGCCUGUUGCCAUGGAGAUGCUCCAAAGCUUCCCUUGUGGGCCUGGCCAAAGUCCAGUGCAGGGUCCCGAAACCACCACCCCUCAUUCUGACGGGGCUUUGCGAUUCUGACCUAGGGCAAAGGACACGCCCCGAGGGAUUCAACCUGCCGGCCCACCCCGUGGCCAUGACCUCUGGGGUGAGUGCGGUAUCGGGGAGCUAGGGCCAGAGGAGAGGCUGGUGUGGACAGAGUCUCCUGUCUGCCCACGGGCCACACCAGGGCUGAGCUUGACCACAUCUGCCCUGGCCUUGGAGUGGGGUAGGGUCUGACCCCAGGUGGGCCCUGCGGCUGGGAUAUCAGUUUACCCCCUUUUAACAGAUGCAAUAAACUGAGUUCCAAGGA
Leopardus geoffroyi (Geoffroy's cat) is the source of this 1385-nucleotide long non-coding RNA. RefSeq lists it as uncharacterized. Lineage: Eukaryota; Metazoa; Chordata; Mammalia; Carnivora; Felidae. The record is from RefSeq and is a predicted model, not a curated record. The transcript is spliced from 2 exons.